Molecule: non-coding RNA, 330 nt
Organism: Oreochromis niloticus (Nile tilapia)
Lineage: Eukaryota; Metazoa; Chordata; Actinopteri; Cichliformes; Cichlidae
Source: the annotation of a RefSeq genome assembly
AUGGCAGCAGAGGAGCUGAUUCAGGAGGAUUUAAUAUUGACCAGGAGAGUUGGAGAAAAUGUCUCCUUCAGCUGUGGAGAGAUUAAUAAGUGUGAUGGCAGCUAUGUGUUCUGGUACCAGAAGAAAGAAUAUGAAACAUUCAGAGUGAUUCUUGAUAUUGAUAAGAAUAGUGGUAACAUAGAUAAAAAUUACGGUCAUCCUCAGAAAGAUGAUUUCUCAGCUGUGAAAACACAGAACGGCUGGGAGUUGAAGAUAGAGAAAGUUAAACGUGAUCAUUCAGCCACCUACUACUGCUCCUGCUACAAGUCUGCUCCCCACAGUGAGAAAUGA